Molecule: ribosomal RNA, 446 nt
Filed under: uncultured bacterium
Lineage: Bacteria
Description: bacterial SSU rRNA
Rfam family: Bacterial small subunit ribosomal RNA
Source: RNAcentral
UCCCAGACUCCUACGGGAGGCAGCAGUGGGGAAUAUUGCACAAUGGGGGAAACCCUGAUGCAGCAACGCCGCGUGAGUGAAGAAGUAUUUCGGUAUGUAAAGCUCUAUCAGCAGGGAAGAAGAUGACGGUACCUGAUUAAGAAGCCCCGGCUAACUACGUGCCAGCAGCCGCGGUAAUACGUAGGGGGCAAGCGUUAUCCGGAUUUACUGGGUGUAAAGGGAGCGCAGACGGCAGUGCAAGUCUGGAGUGAAAGCCCGGGGCCCAACCCCGGAACUGCUCUGGAAACUGUGCGGCUAGAGUACUGGAGGGGCAGGCGGAAUUCCUAGUGUAGCGGUGAAAUGCGUAGAUAUUAGGAGGAACACCAGUGGCGAAGGCGACUUUCUGGACUGUACCUGACGCUGAGGCGCGAAAGCGUGGGUAGCGAACGGGAUUAGAUACCCGGGUA